GUAAGUGUAAUGAAUUUGUGGAUCAUUUACUAGCCGCACCUCCGCCGAAUAGAAAGAGCAUUUUUUACCCUGGGAAUGAGCUGCCACAAAGGAUGAUGUAUCAAAAUAACUGUGGAUAUUCUCUGACUUGGUCUUCAUCAUCCAAACAACAAGAGAGGGUGCAAUUUGGUCUCUGUGUUGUUAUAGAU
Molecule: non-coding RNA, 188 nt
Organism: Jatropha curcas
Lineage: Eukaryota; Viridiplantae; Streptophyta; Magnoliopsida; Malpighiales; Euphorbiaceae
Source: RefSeq, a predicted model, not a curated record